GACGAACGCUGGCGGCGUGCUUAACACAUGCAAGUCGAACGGAAAGGCCCUGCCUUUGUGGGGUGCUCGAGUGGCGAACGGGUGAGUAACACGUGAGUAACCUGCCCUUGACUUUGGGAUAACUUCAGGAAACUGGGGCUAAUACCGGAUAGGAGCUCCUGCUGCAUGGUGGGGGUUGGAAAGUUUCGGCGGUUGGGGAUGGACUCGCGGCUUAUCAGCUUGUUGGUGGGGUAGUGGCUUACCAAGGCUUUGACGGGUAGCCGGCCUGAGAGGGUGACCGGCCACAUUGGGACUGAGAUACGGCCCAGACUCCUACGGGAGGCAGCAGUGGGGAAUAUUGCACAAUGGGCGGAAGCCUGAUGCAGCAACGCCGCGUGCGGGAUGACGGCCUUCGGGUUGUAAACCGCUUUCGCCUGUGACGAAGCGUGAGUGACGGUAAUGGGUAAAGAAGCACCAGCUAACUACGUG
Molecule: ribosomal RNA, 468 nt
Filed under: uncultured bacterium
Lineage: Bacteria
Description: partial 16S ribosomal RNA
Rfam family: Bacterial small subunit ribosomal RNA
Source: RNAcentral